Molecule: long non-coding RNA, 1415 nt
Organism: Cryptomeria japonica (Japanese cedar)
Lineage: Eukaryota; Viridiplantae; Streptophyta; Pinopsida; Cupressales; Cupressaceae
Exons: 6
Source: RefSeq, a predicted model, not a curated record
UAUCGAAUUAAAAAUAAAUUGGAGUCUUUCCAACAAUCAUGGACAAAAAAAUUUGUUGUUCAUCAUCUUCCUAGUGAGAUUUGUAACAAAUUGGAGAAUAUUUCUUCACAUUUUGGCUGGAAACUUUCUCUAUGUGAAUUCUUCCAAGGAUUGGUAGAAUCCUUGUUAGUUCCUGCCUGCAGGGACUAUAGCUGAGGCCUCAGGCUUCGCACAGUUCUCAACAGGAGAGAACGCACGACUCCAGAAGUAGGUGCAGGGCCGCCAAAAUGGAACUUUGACAGAGCGCAUAGAAAAACAUGGAUGACAAAAAGUGAUUGCGGAGUGAAAGUAACAGUUGGCAAAAUUACAAGACAAAUUGCAGAGUAUGGAUUCGAAUCACCUAGCUGUCGAUAAGGGUUUUCAUUCGGAAAUGACGUGUUAGCUCACAGGCCUGGAAACACAACUAUAUUGCUGUACGCAUAAGGUUCCUGUAUGUGGAGAUUGCAUCUGCUUUCCUGAACACAGUGCUUGUGAGGUGACGACAUAUGCAGAGUGGAUGGUUGAUUCCAGUUGCAGUUUCCUACCAAAAUGUAGCUUUUGCUUGCAGAUACUGACUCAUUCAAGUCGCUCUGUCACUCAGCUCGGCUGCUUACGUAUGUUUUUCCUUGAACUUCACUAAGGUUGAUUUUACACGAAUGAGAUUAUUUAUUAGCAUAGGACAAGGCUAAUCCUGGAAGGAUUGUGCUCAGAUGUUUUGCAUAAUUCGUGCUUGCUUCUACUUUUGAAAGGAUCUUCAUCUCCAACUGGUUACACAUGUCCUUCAUGCAAAUCACAAAUAUGGUUCUUCCCUUGCCUAUCAAUUGGAGGAAUUAUUUGCGAAGAGCCAUAUUUUUAUGUUGGACAAGAAUUCUCUAUUGCCAUUAGCUUCUGAACUAUUAUCAAAUUUCUCUGAGCAAGGAUUCUCACAGCCACGUUCUGAGAUUCAAUCAACAGUUUUUAGUUUGUCAUCACCUCUUGCUGAAAUGUACACAGAUCCGAAGAGUCAAAAGGCACAGCAGAGCUAUAUUCCUAAAGAUCAAAAUGUAUUAGAGAGUGGGGAAACAUUUAAAUCACCAAGAAAGACGAUAAAUAUUGAAACUCCAAAGUCUUGUUCACCUGAGAUUGAUAAGCUUUUUGUACAUUCCCAUGUCAUGGACGUAGAAUAACUGAUUUCUAUUUUAACUAAUCUUCAUAUUGUUAAUUUUGCAAGGUCCUGAAUGCAAAAGCUGAGAACAGCCAGCAAAUCCGGGAAAGGAUCAAUAGCAAGCAAGGCCACUGACACAAAAAUGAAAUCACACAAUUUAUUACCAUUGUACUAGUUUUGCAGUUUUGCACAACAUCGUUAAUAGGCAGCCGACAUUUGGCAAACAUAUGUAAAUAUAUAUCUCUUUCUUUCA